RNAcentral lists this transfer RNA (63 nucleotides) under Physomerus sp. Its description in RNAcentral is "tRNA-Pro". The record is from RNAcentral. Lineage: Eukaryota; Metazoa; Arthropoda; Insecta; Hemiptera; Coreidae.
CAGUAAAUAGUUUAAUAAAAAUAUUAAUUUUGGGGAUUAGGGUUGAGACUUUCUCUUUACUGA